CUCAUUUAAUUACUUUCCUAUUUAGGACCUUGAUUUAGAAAAGUUAAAAACACAUUCCUAAAAUACCUACCAUAAAUAAAUGAGAAAAGUAAUUUUAGAUCUUCAAUUCCUAAAAUCUUAAGUUAAUUUUUAAAAAAAAUAUUUCAAGAAGGCAUCAAAUUAUUUUACAUUCUAAUAUUUCCUAAUUACUGUAUUAUUUAGAAACGGCAGUUAUGGUAUACGAACAUGUUCAACAUUUUAAGGGUAAAUUGGUAAUUCUAUCCAUGUCUUCUUAGAGGGACACGUAUGCUACAAUUAAUUUGACAAAACCACAAUUAAGCUCAACUUCAGUGUUAACAACUUCUCUCUCAUUCGCUGCUUCAAAGACCCAUCUCUGUGUGUGAGUAUAUCAACUUUCUUCUAAGUUUUUCUCCGUUCUUCGAUCUUUCAAUUUGUGAAAUUCUUUUGUUGAUGGGUAUGUGGUUGUUUAUGACGUCGGGUCUUACACUACUAUACUUGUGAUUUGGUGAAUUUUACUUCAUUCUCUUCCAUUCUUUGUUGCACCCAUUUCCUGGUGAUGGGAUUUUGAUAGAUCUGAUUUGGUUUUCUUCAUAAUUUGGAUUUUUUGUUGAAUUUCUUACAUGCAGGUCAACAUUUAAUUGGUAUCUCUUUUGCUCCGGAUUUUUCGGAAUAGUGUGCUUCCAAAGCCUCAAACUCUUUCCUCAUGGCAUCUUGCCAAGCUGGGAUAGGAGCUGCCUGGGAAUAUGUAUAUGGUUCAAAUUUUACUGGCUUAGAAGAGGAGCAAGAAAGGGAAUUGGGCAGCUUGUAGAUGUAAUCAUUUAAGUAAGAAGGAGGAUUAUGAGGUCUAUCAGAUUUUCUAAGGGGAAUAGAGGAUGGUGCAGGAGUAGCAGUAUCGGGAUUGAAGGAAGGAGAAGCAGGGGCAGAAUCAGGGACAGCAACUGAAGGAGAAACUGCAGCAUCUAUGUCAGGAGGAGAAGAGGUGCUGGGAGAAGUAGGAGAUGAAGAACCAUGUGUGAAAGGAGAAGCAGGAUGUGAUGUUGUGUUGGGGGUAACAUUAGUGGAAGAAGAGGGCAUAAGACAAUCAUGGGGAAAAGAAGGUAAAUGAGCAGGUGACAAAGGGGACUCAGAAACAACAGGAAAGGAGAAAUCUGAAUAAAAAGGAAAAUGCUGCUCAUGGAAAACCACAUCUCUGGAUAUGAAACACUGCUUGGAUUGCAAAUUAUACAACUUAUAGCCUUUCUUUGCAAAGGGAUAGCCAAGGAAUAUACAAGGAUUAGCUCUAGGUUUCAGUUUAUCUCGUUGAGGAAUUAGAACAGUGGCAAAACAAAGACAACCAAAAGUCCUUAAGUGAGAAUAAUUGGGCUUUUUUUGCCAAAUAGCAACUCAUAAGGAGAUUUAUUUUGAAGCAAGCUAGAGGGAAGUCUAUUUAUAAUAUAGGUGGAUGUGAGGAGACGGUCUCCCCAGAAUCUAAUGGGAACUUGGGACUGAAAAAGUAAGGCUCUAGAAGCUUCAAGAAGAGUUCUAUGCUUCCUCUCAACCACACCAUUUUGUUGAGGUGUGUGAGGGCAGCUUGUUUGAUGAAUUAUACCAUGUUCAGAAAAGAAGGAAAUAGCAGCAUGACUAGCUCCUAACUCUAAAGCAUUGUCAGACCUUAUACACUGAAUAGUCAUAUGAAAUUGUGUCUUUACAAGUGCAACAAAGACCUUAAGAAGAGGGAAAGCAUUACUCUUGGAGCCCAUUAAGUGAGUCCAAGUGCUUUCCAGUGAAAUGAUCAACAAUAGUAAGAAAGUAUUUAGAACCUGAGUAAGUAGGUGUGUGAUAUGGUCCCCAAGUGUCAACAUGGACAAGUUGGAAAGGCUUAGAGCUAUGAAUAGAGCUAUCAGGGAAAGGCAAUCUAGUUUGCCUAGCCAUUGGACAAACAUGACAUGUAAAAGACUGUGUGGAAGAAAUAGCAGAAGACACUUCAGGAAUACUUUUCAUUCUAAUAAAAGGAACAUGAGCAAGUCUACUACGCCAAACAAUAUCCAUCAUUUUAUUCAUAACAGCUUUAUUACAGGUGGAAGAAGCAGUAUUUACAAUAGAAGAAAUAGGAACAGGAUCACAAACAGAUGGUAAGCUGCAAGAAUUUGACAGAGUAGCUUGAUGUUGAGAAGGCUUUUCCCAUACAGACUUGUAUAACCCACAAUCCAGUUUACCAAGAUCCAGAGGCUUCUUCAGAGAGAAGGGUCCUGUAUGAGACAAGAAAGUCUGGUAAACUGAACUAUGCAAUCAAACUGGUCUGUGAGUUUAUGUACAGAAAUAAGAUUGUGUUUAAAAGAAGGUAGAUAGAGAACAUUUGUAAGAAUAAUGGAAUCAGUUAAGGCAAAGGAACAUGUACAAGUGACUUUAACUUUGUAUCCAUUUGAUAGGGAAACAAGGAAAGGAAUAGGUAAAGGUGUGAUAAUAUUAAUAAGGUAAUCUUUGUUAGAGGUCAUGUGAUCUGAUGCACCGGAGUCAACUAUCCAAGUUAAAGAAUCAGAUUGACUAAGUAGAGUAGAAUUAAAACUAUAUACUACAUGAUAAAUUUGUUACUUUAAGCUUCAUUUUUCCACCAGUUACUGAUUGAUCAAUAACAUGUCAAGCAUGUCUUAUCAAGUAUUGUUUCUACUUCUUCUUCAUUUAUCUACAGUGAAAUCUUCAAUUGUUUGCUCUCAAAUUCAUCAAACUAAAGCAUUUUAUGAUCCAAUUUAGUAGAGAUCUCUGUCUAUUUUGUAGUGCUUCUAAGGUUAGUACUGCACUUUAGAAUUUAGAUGCAUCAUGAGCUAAAAGCCUAAUUUAACAACUAAUGCCUGGUUGGUGAAACCUUUUAAUUCGCAAAUGGUAAUGGGAAAGUUACCUUGUGAUCCACCAUUCUAGCCUAUAACAUUAGUUUGUGGAGACGAAACAUUACUAAUGAAACAGUGCGAUUGGAUUGAUUAGCAGGGGAAAAAUAAAGGACUGCUGAUAUAUAAAUUUCAAAUAUUCUUUGUUGCAUCUACCAGUACAUUGCUGAUGGUAUUUUCUGUUUUAUGCCAUUUACCGACUUUUAAAUUGGGCCUACUGUUGCGAGUUAAUAUAUGCCUUAUUUCAGGCCAUUCUAGAGUAAACUGAAAUUUUGAGUAAGGAAGCCAUUAGGCCUAAGGUUGAGUUAUCGUUUCUUUUUUGGUAAUUAAGAAAGUUUUAUUAUCAGGGAAAAUAUAUGUACAAGUAAAGAAGCAAAACCCCUAAAGUUGGACAUAAGGCCCCAACUUUAGUAUAAGCAAACUAGCAUCUUAGACAAACUAUCAACGGCUAUCUACCAUUUGCAUCUCAGUUUACUACUUGAUUCAAAGCUAUAGCACUGGCUAGGGGUAAAAAUUCAAGUCUGCCACCUGCUUUGUUAGCCUUGGUUGCCAACUCAUUCUGCAUAUAACAUCAUGUAUGUUGUGUUGAGUUAUCUUUUUGCGCUAGAUAUUUAUGUUAAUUUCUAUUUCACUAAAAAUGCCCAAAGGUUUUUGGUUUAUGAUGGUACAUAUUCAUCUAUUCAAAAGCACCAAAUCCUUCAGUUAUAUAUGCUAUUGACAUCAUGUUUCUAUUUGCCGUGUCAUUAGAUUGCAAAUGUGUUUCUGCAAUUUCAUCAGGUACAUGAUUACUUAUCUCUGCUUUACUUAUGUAUCUGAUUAGAUUUUUAUGACAAUAACAUGUUUGAUUUUUUAUUAGAAAGGAAUAUUUUAAAGUCUGUCAAUUCAUUAGAUGUCUUUGAUCAAUAAUACGCGAGACUACAAAAAAAUAUUAACUCUUAGAUUCUGUGCACUAUUGGGUCAUGUUUUGCAUCAAGGGUGCAACAUGAAUCACUAUGUUGUUGAGAGUACUACAUCUAAUACUGGUGAUCUACUAAUUGAGAAAGGUUCCGAUUCUGCUGGUUCGUGCACGUCUUUAUGCAGCUGAAGUUGCACAUGCUCUUGAAUACAUAGUAUGGGAAUGAUUCGUUGAGAUAUUAAGGUACUUUUAUUACCUGGACACCUUUGUCAAUGAAAUAUAUUAGGAAAGUUUUGAGUUUAUAUUUAUGGCUGCCAGAAAACUUGCUACGUACUGCAGAUGGACAUAUUAAAAUCGUUAACUUUGGCAGUGUAAAACCAUGCAGGAUAACAGAAUAACAGUCCUUUUAUAUAUAACAUCAGGUAUAUCUUUCUUGAUGUUCGGUUGCUUCCGUAGAAAUUAGAAUCAGGUUAAGUUCCCAAAGAUAUGCUCUUUGUGCAUUUUUAUUACCAAAUUAAAUCACUUCUCCAGAUAAUAAAGCAUGCACUUUUGUGGGGACAGCUGCAAAGGUCCUCACAUUCAAAUGAAGGUUGGUAUGUAGAUGAUUUUAUCCUAUUUUAGAUCACUCAAUAAGAAAAUAUUUGUUGUAUGAUGCAGGAAUUUGUAGAGAUUUUGGUGAGCCUCAUUUUAGUUUCUGCUAAUCAACUUUCAGAAUACACCAACUUUGUCUGCCCUUUAAAUAUCAAUAUCAUAUUAAUGAACCUUUUAUACCCUUUAAGUUUUUUUCCCACCAUACUCUAGAAGUAUCAAUGUCAUAUUAAAAAGCAAAAGCAAAUAGCAUAUAGGACAUCCCUUUGCUUUUUUUUUUUCCUCUUUGCAUACCCUUAAAUGAUAUUUUAGCUUAGAUUUGUCUCAGUAUCUGAUCAAGCACCGGAGAAGGAGAAAAUAGUUCAAGGAAGACUAGGAAUAGACAUUUCCCAACCACUGUGAAGAUUGAAGAAUAAUAGGAAAGUUUAUUUCUCAUUAUAUCAGGUUAGUUUCACUUUCAACCUUGAAAGGGAUGUUACAGAUUUUUUGUUGCUGAGAUUCUGGUCUGUUUAGCUGCCUAAUACCAUAUAUCAUUUGGUUGAAUACUACAUUAUCUUCUAGAGAUAGAGCUGUCGUUGCCUGCAUUUUGGACGGAAGACAAACAACUGCCUGCAGUUACACAGCUUGAUAUAUUUUCAACAGGUUACUCCAUCACGGGAGAAAAAGGUCAACUAUUUUCAUCCUCAAAGCUUUCCAUAGCACGACUUGAGAUCUCAAAUGGCUGAUUGCAGGUGGACAAAAAAGGGACUUGCAUCAACUUUAGAAGUUUUAUUAAUUUUCACACUCCCAAGUUUGUGUGAUAAUUAUAAUUAAAAUAAUGGUACAUAAAAUACCUUUUGUAUGUGAUUCUAUAAUAUAGUGUCAAUUAUAACAUUCUAGCAUUCUACACAACCUUAUAGUGAAAGACAUUAGCUAAAUCUAUAUAGCCAUAUUAAUCAUGUUGGGCAGCUGCUUUUAUGUUGGGCCCGUGCAUAGCACGGGAUAGAAAAGGACAAUACAUUAGAAGGAAACUCUUAACUACUUUUGUUAUAAGAAUUUUUUUCGGCAACUUUGUCAAACAAAAACAUAGAAUCCAUUUUUUCC
This 5427-nucleotide long non-coding RNA is filed under the name Nicotiana tabacum (common tobacco). Its description in RNAcentral is "long non-coding RNA (NTAB_LNC010084)". Lineage: Eukaryota; Viridiplantae; Streptophyta; Magnoliopsida; Solanales; Solanaceae. The record is from RNAcentral.